This is a long non-coding RNA of Austrofundulus limnaeus, 438 nucleotides long. RefSeq lists it as uncharacterized. The record is from RefSeq and is a predicted model, not a curated record. The transcript is spliced from 2 exons. Lineage: Eukaryota; Metazoa; Chordata; Actinopteri; Cyprinodontiformes; Rivulidae.
UGGCCGUUUACACUGUUAGUAUCCAGGUGAAUCUGGUACUGGAACUUGACGUCACCGAAAAGAUCGGCUGACUGUUUAGGUUUGUUGAGCAAAGACAAGAGUCGGGGGACAGGCAGGGGUCAAAUCCAGAAAGAGAGCUUUGUUUACCAGAACCAAGGGGCUGAGCUGAGUCCGUAAAUCCGUGGGACAGGCGUGGGUCACAAACCAGGAGAUCUGAGGUGUAGUGAUGCCAGCAAGGAGAGAGACAAGAGAUGUUAAUCCAAAACACAGAGCUGGGGGUCAAAACCAGGAGGAGGACAGAUGGCUGGACAAACUCGUUAGGGUUUGAGGCAAAGAUGCGAGGCAUGAGGACAAAACCACCAGAUGUAUCUAGACCAGUACCAGGUUCCUGCCAGACCAUCGACAUUGACUCAUUGUUUAAUAAAUAUMUUAAACUAG